RNAcentral lists this ribosomal RNA (253 nucleotides) under uncultured bacterium. Its description in RNAcentral is "partial 16S ribosomal RNA". It matches the Rfam family "Bacterial small subunit ribosomal RNA", at positions 524 to 776 of the family's 1533-position model. The record is from RNAcentral.
UACUUAGGUGGCAAGCGUUGUCCGGAAUUAUUGGGCGUAAAGCGCGCGCAGGCGGUCCUUUAAGUCUGAUGUGAAAGCCCACGGCUCAACCGUGGAGGGUCAUUGGAAACUGGGGGACUUGAGUGCAGAAGAGGAGAGUGGAAUUCCACGUGUAGCGGUGAAAUGCGUAGAGAUGUGGAGGAACACCAGUGGCGAAGGCGACUCUCUGGUCUGUAACUGACGCUGAGGCGCGAAAGCGUGGGGAGCAAACAGG